GCCUAGAUGAUUUUAGUGCUUGCACUAAAUGAAACUAGAUACAAGCGAGCGGCGGACGGGUGAGUAACACGUGGGUAACCUGCCCAAGAGACUGGGAUAACACCUGGAAACAGAUGCUAAUACCGGAUAACAACACUAGACGCAUGUCUAGAGUUUGAAAGAUGGUUCUGCUAUCACUCUUGGAUGGACCUGCGGUGCAUUAGCUAGUUGGUAAGGUAACGGCUUACCAAGGCAAUGAUGCAUAGCCGAGUUGAGAGACUGAUCGGCCACAUUGGGACUGAGACACGGCCCAAACUCCUACGGGAGGCAGCAGUAGGGAAUCUUCCACAAUGGACGAAAGUCUGAUGGAGCAACGCCGCGUGAGUGAAGAAGGGUUUCGGCUCGUAAAGCUCUGUUGGUAGUGAAGAAAGAUAGAGGUAGUAACUGGCCUUUAUUUGACGGUAAUUACUUAGAAAGUCACGGCUAACUACGUGCCAGCAGCCGCGGUAAUACGUAGGUGGCAAGCGUUGUCCGGAUUUAUUGGGCGUAAAGCGAGUGCAGGCGGUUCAAUAAGUCUGAUGUGAAAGCCUUCGGCUCAACCGGAGAAUUGCAUCAGAAACUGUUGAACUUGAGUGCAGAAGAGGAGAGUGGAACU
RNAcentral lists this ribosomal RNA (634 nucleotides) under Lactobacillaceae bacterium. RNAcentral describes it as "bacterial SSU rRNA". It matches the Rfam family "Bacterial small subunit ribosomal RNA", at positions 61 to 668 of the family's 1533-position model. Lineage: Bacteria; Bacillati; Bacillota; Bacilli; Lactobacillales; Lactobacillaceae. The record is from RNAcentral.